GAGGAUGAGCAGGAGGGAGAGGAGGAGGAAGAGCAGGAGGGAGAGGAGCUUUACCUGCAAAGAAAAGGAGCACACAAGAAAUCGAAUCGUCGAACUCUUGAGUGCCUUCUUUGUGGCCGAAAAUCAAAGUAUCUUCCAAAGCAUUUGAGAAGAGUCCAUCAUAUUCUUAAUGAAGAAUUCCUACAACAAACCAUGUGCUCUGCAAGAUUGAAGUUAGUCAUUUAAUUUAUAUUUUUUUCAUUUUUUAAAGUAUACUUAAAGUAAAAAAAUAUACAUGCCAUUGUUCUGAGAUUAAGAAUUUUGAUACUUGCAUUUAGAUGCAUAUCUAAUUUUUUGUAUUCAGAUUUUGUAUUCCAUUUUUUAAUUAUUCUAGUAUUCAUUAUAUAAAUGCAGAUUUUAUGAAUAAUAUUCUUUUCUAUUUUCAAACACUAAGUGGUCUGAAUGGGUGAGUUAAUCAAACGCUUCAUUAUAUAGUUUGCUGCUUAUCAGUCGUUAAUGAAAAUCACAGUAUAUAGCCUAUCUUCUGUUAACCAAAGAAUAUGAGUUAAUAAGGAUGUUUUUUUCUUUUUCCAGAUGGUUUCUAUCCACUGAAUUUUUUAUUCAAACAUUUAAUUGUAUAUCUUUUAUGUUGAAUUUUAAAUAUGUAAAUUAUGUUCACUCUUAACAAAUCCUGUUGACUGUAUAUAUUCUUAAUGAUCUUUGUGAAUAUGAUGAUAAUUAUAUUUCCCUUGUGUGGUAGGUAGGUAUAGGCAACUGCUAAAUCCAUGUGUAUGACAAAAUCACCUACUGUAUGUUCAAAUAUUAAAAACAUUUUGUUACUAUAAUUUCUAAUGAUUGAUGUUUAGUGUCCAUGUAUACACAAGUAUUUUGUAAUUUGUAAAUUCAUUCUAAUCAUUUAAUCUAUUUGUGAUUCAUAGAAUUCUACCAUAGUGCAAUGGCUAGAGCAUCAGCAUGGAUUGGCACAAAUCUCGGGUUCUAUCCUGAUUGAUUGAAAUUUUGAAAUCAGUUAUUUUUUUAUAUUU
This is a long non-coding RNA of Anneissia japonica, 1022 nucleotides long. RefSeq lists it as uncharacterized. The transcript has 3 exons. The record is from RefSeq and is a predicted model, not a curated record. NCBI's taxonomy places the organism in Eukaryota, Metazoa, Echinodermata, Crinoidea, Comatulida, Comatulidae.